UCAACAAUUCAUUCAAUAAAUACCAUCACCAAUGUUACAAAGCAGAGCCACUCUUCUUUCUAUAUCUCAGUAUUCUUCCUCUUAACAAAACAAUGGAGCUCCCUCAUUUUGUUCCUCUUCUCUCAAUUUUCCUUCUCCUUAUUCCACCUUUGACCUGUGCUCAAGUGUGCCAAAGAAACUGUGGCAAAGAAUACCUAAAGUACCCAUUUGGUAGUGGCCCUGGUUGCGGUAACCCACUCUUCCAACCACACAUUUCUUGCUCCCAACAAAAACUUACCUUCACAACUCACACAGGCUCGUACCUUGUUACUUCAAUUGACUAUUCAAACCAAGUAAUUUACAUUUCUGACCCUACUAUGUCAACAUGUUCUUGCACUCUCCCUAGCAAAGGUUUUGGCCUAGAUUGGAAUGCACCAUUCACUUUCCAUGAUAGCACCAUCUUUGCCCUAGUUGAUUGUUCAAUCAAUUCAUCAUCAAUAUGCACAACACAAAGUUAUGAUGACAUUGAUGAUGGUAACAACAAAAAUUCAAAUUCAAAUUCCAAGCUUUUGUGUGAUCAAAGUACACCAAUUUGUAGUCUUUUGUAUUCAUGCAAACCUAUUAGCACUAUUAACCUUCCAAUUUCCACAUGUUGUGUUUAUGAACCGGUGAAUCUUGGUCCGUCAUUCGAGAUGGAUCUUCAGAAGCUUCAGUGUCCGUCAUAUACCGGAUUCUACAACUUCGACGAGGGAGAAUCUGAUCCUGAGAAGUGGAACUAUGGGAUAGCAUUAAAGUACAAGUUUAGUGUGACGGAUGAUUAUCCUAACUCUUGUGCUGCUUGUGAAAAGAGUUAUGGGGUGUGUGGAUACAAUGGAGCUUAUAAUUCAUUUAUAUGCAAUUGCCCUAAUGGCAUCAACACUACAACAGAUUGUUACUUCACAUCAUCUUACAAUAAUGCUUUUAGAAACGGGAUUGCUUGGUUGAUUUAUCCUAUGGCAUGGUCAGUGGUUUGGUUCUUCUUGUAGCUUAUGGAUCAAAAAGCAAGAUCAAAAACCAUUAAAGCAAUCAAAAACUCUUCUUGUGAUUUCAGGUUUACCAGACAAGUAUGGAUUGAAGAAGUAAGGAAAAAGCAUGCAAAAGUGGAGAAUUUAUGAAGAAAUGAAGGAUGUGUAGAGCUGUCAGCCCUGAUCUCUUCGUACUAAAGUGAUCAUAACUUGAGCUAUAGAGUUUCGAAUGAGGUAGUUCUAGUGACAUUAGAAAGCUAACAUCCGAGACUUCAAAAUAAUAUAGUGGAUGUGUGUUAAGACGUUCGCAUAUGCAGCCAAAUACUUGCAUACAUGAGACAACAAAAAGUGCUUCCUUAAAGAAACACGUGAGGGGCAAUUUCUGGAGUAUUUUGGGUGCAAUCCAACCUAUUUCUGAUGCUAUUGAA
Molecule: RNA transcript, 1411 nt
Organism: Arachis duranensis
Lineage: Eukaryota; Viridiplantae; Streptophyta; Magnoliopsida; Fabales; Fabaceae
Gene name: wall-associated receptor kinase-like 20
Exons: 3
Source: RefSeq, a predicted model, not a curated record